Molecule: ribosomal RNA, 418 nt
Filed under: uncultured Chloroflexota bacterium
Lineage: Bacteria; Bacillati; Chloroflexota
Description: bacterial SSU rRNA
Rfam family: Bacterial small subunit ribosomal RNA
Source: RNAcentral
CGAUGCAACGCGAAGAACCUUACCAAGGCUUGACAUGCCAGAAGUAGGAACUCGAAGAGAGACCACCUGUAUCCAGUCAGGAACUGGCACAGGUGCUGCAUGGCUGUCGUCAGCUCGUGCCGUGAGGUGUUAGGUUAAGUCCCGCAACGAGCGCAACCCUCGUCGCUAGUUAAAUUUUCUAGCGAUACUGCCCGUAAAACGAGGAGGAAGGUGGGGAUGACGUCAAGUCAGCACUGGCCUUACGCCUUGGGCUACACACACGCUACAAUGGGUGAUACAACGGGUUGCGAGAGAGCGAUCUGGAGCUAAUCCCUAAAAUCAUCCUCAGUUCGGAUUGCAGGCUGAAACUGCCUGCAUGAAGUUGGAGUUGCUAGUAACCGCAGGUCAGCACACUGCGGUGAAUACGUUCUCGGGCCUU